AGGGAAACCGAGUCUUAACUGGGCGUUAAGUUGCAGGGUAUAGACCCGAAACCCGGUGAUCUAGCCAUGGGCAGGUUGAAGGUUGGGUAACACUAACUGGAGGACCGAACCGACUAAUGUUGAAAAAUUAGCGGAUGACUUGUGGCUGGGGGUGAAAGGCCAAUCAAACCGGGAGAUAGCUGGUUCUCCCCGAAAGCUAUUUAGGUAGCGCCUCGUGAACUCAUCUUCGGGGGUAGAGCACUGUUUCGGCUAGGGGGUCAUCCCGACUUACCAACCCGAUGCAAACUGCGAAUACCGAAGAAUGUUAUCACGGGAGACACACGGCGGGUGCUAACGUCCGUCGUGAAGAGGGAAACAACCCAGACCGCCAGCUAAGGUCCCAAAGUCACAGUUAAGUGGGAAACGAUGUGGGAAGGCUCAGACAGCCAGGAUGUUGGCUUAGAAGCAGCCAUCAUUUAAAGAAAGCGUAAUAGCUCACUGGUCGAGUCGGCCUGCGCGGAAGAUGUAACGGGGCUAAACUGUGCACCGAAGCUGCGGCAGCGACGCUUAUGCGUUGUUGGGUAGGGGAGCGUUCUGUAAGCCUGCGAAGGUGUCCUGUGAGGGAUGCUGGAGGUAUCAGAAGUGCGAAUGCUGACAUAAGUAACGAUAAUGCGGGUGAAAAGCCCGCUCGCCGGAAGACCAAGGGUUCCUGUCCAACGUUAAUCGGGGCAGGGUGAGUCGACCCCUAAGGCGAGGCCGAAAGGCGUAGUCGAUGGGAAACGGGUUAAUAUUCCCGUACUUGGUGUUACUGCGAAGGGGGGACGGAGAAGGCUAUGUUGGCCGGGCGACGGUUGUCCCGGUUUAAGCGUGUAGGCUGGUUUUCCAGGCAAAUCCGGAAAAUCAAGGCUGAGG
RNAcentral lists this ribosomal RNA (891 nucleotides) under Salmonella enterica subsp. enterica serovar Kentucky. Its description in RNAcentral is "partial 23S ribosomal RNA". It matches the Rfam family "Bacterial large subunit ribosomal RNA", at positions 670 to 1561 of the family's 2925-position model. The record is from RNAcentral. Lineage: Bacteria; Pseudomonadati; Pseudomonadota; Gammaproteobacteria; Enterobacterales; Enterobacteriaceae.